This is a non-coding RNA of Odocoileus virginianus texanus, 1330 nucleotides long. Lineage: Eukaryota; Metazoa; Chordata; Mammalia; Artiodactyla; Cervidae. The record is from RefSeq and is a predicted model, not a curated record.
GUACAUAGUUCAGAAACUAGCACUUAUGAGAGAACACUUCUCAUUAAACAUCUUCAGAAUUAAAUCUUACUGGCACAUUGUUUUCUUGUGUAUAAUCUUCUCACCUUUCUAUGUUUUCAUUAAAUGGAAAAGUUUAAAUAAAAUCACAGAGUGUUCUCCUUAUAAACAUUCAACUUCAAACUACUUCCUCCAUUUGAACACGACCCUCACCUAGAAAUCAAAAUAAAGGUCUCAGAAGUACAUAUUUAGGGCAGGAGCUGUUAGGUGAGGAGAUGGUAAUCUUGUGGGUCAUUCCUAGGAUUCUGGGUCAUUCCCUAAUCUCUGAAUUUAUGUGUACUCAAUGGACUGACAUUUAUUGUACUUUUAUCAAAUUAAUCUAAAUAGCAUUCCAUAUAUAUGUUCUCUGUUAUCUAAAAGCAGAGUAAGUAGGAAUUCAUUUUCUUUUAUUUAUGUGAUUAUUUUUCUCCUAAGUAAUCUUCAAGUGAGGUAUAGUCUCUAAAGGUAUUAUUUAACUGUCACAUGUAGUAAGUUGUAUAUCAUUUCUAUGAUAACAUCUCUUGUUUAACUUAAGCAUCAAUAAUAUUUUACUUAUUUCAGAUGCAGCAGAAGUUGGAAAAGAGUAGAACUAGAGAACUAGAAGAAGGAAGAACUCCAAACACCCACAUCAAUUUGGGUCCCGCCAAAGAAGUCGGCCUUAUCUCUUCACCACCCUCCUCUGCCCCUCAGCCCUGCAUCUAACCAGCCAGACUGUGUAGGAUCCCACAGGAGUGCUUCCUCACCUCCGGUCUUUGUACGUGCAUCUCCCCUUCGCCUGCUGCGCUUUCUCCUCUCCUUCAGGUGCUGCUGAAUUUGAAUCUGAAUACUUCUAGAGUGUCCUCUCUAUUAUCUACAGGUGGACCAAAUCUAUACCAGGCCCUACCUGUGAAAAAUAAGAUAUACAGAUUUUAGUAUGACAAAAACCACUGCAAUGUUGUAAAGUAAUUAGCCUCCAACUAAUAAAAAUAAAUGGAAAAAAAAAAGAUAUACAGAUUUUGAAGAAAAAAUAUAUCAUUUGAAAACUCAAUAGUAAAAAUUUCCCUGUUUCCUUGACAUGUUUAGUUCUCAUUAAACAUCAUGAGAAAAUCUUUAUUAAAGGAAAGUAUUCUUGUAUUGUGUAUGUAUCAUGAAACUUUAUAUGGCAUUUUAAGCCAUGUUUCUCUACGUCUAACUUACUUUUAAGCAGAAACAUUAGCACUGUUGAGUUUUCCGUAUUCAAAGUCAACGUGUUAGUCACUCAGUCAUGUCCGACUCUUUACGAGCCCAUGGACUGUAGCCCACCAGGCUCCUAUGU